Small nuclear RNA from Prolemur simus (greater bamboo lemur), 107 nucleotides. The record is from Ensembl. Lineage: Eukaryota; Metazoa; Chordata; Mammalia; Primates; Lemuridae.
GUACUCACUCGGCAGCACGUAUACUAAAAUUGGAAAGAUACAGGGAAGAUUAUCAUGGCUACUGCACACACAGGAUGACACGAAUUUGUGAAAUGUUCCAUAUUUUU